AGCAGUAGCCGCGGUAAGACAGAGGAUGCAAGCGUUAUCCGGAAUGAUUGGGCGUAAAGGGCUCGCAGGCGGUUUCUUAAGUCUGAUGUGAAAGCCCACGGCUCAACCGUGGAGGGUCAUUGGAAACUGUUAAACUUGAGUGCAGGAGAGAAAAGUGGAAUUCCUAGUGUAGCGGUGAAAUGCGUAGAGAUUAGGAGGAACACCAGUGGCGAAGGCGGCUUUUUGGCCUGUAACUGACACUGAGGCGCGAAAGCGUGGGGAGCAAACAGGAUUAGAUACCCCUGUAGUCCCUGUCUCUUAUAA
This 303-nucleotide ribosomal RNA is filed under the name uncultured bacterium. Its description in RNAcentral is "partial 16S ribosomal RNA". It matches the Rfam family "Bacterial small subunit ribosomal RNA", at positions 507 to 809 of the family's 1533-position model. The record is from RNAcentral.